This is an RNA transcript of Pan troglodytes (chimpanzee), 4229 nucleotides long. It is a transcript of the gene named lamin B receptor, with no coding region annotated. NCBI's taxonomy places the organism in Eukaryota, Metazoa, Chordata, Mammalia, Primates, Hominidae. The transcript is spliced from 14 exons. The record is from RefSeq and is a predicted model, not a curated record.
GGAGGGGAGAAGCGCCGCGAGGCGGGGCCGGGGAGGCGCGCGCCCGGCUUGCGGGACUGCGGGGCGCGAGAGCGCGGCCGGGUAGCGUCGCGCGCGUGGAAUUGCCGCCGGGUUGCUGUGCGACUGUUCUCCUGGAGCCGUCCGUGUCACCGCCGGAGCCUGGCGCAGGUUAAUUAUAGAAAAUGCCAAGUAGGAAAUUUGCCGAUGGUGAAGUGGUAAGAGGUCGAUGGCCUGGGAGUUCACUUUAUUAUGAAGUAGAAAUUCUGAGCCACGACAGCACCUCCCAGCUUUACACUGUAAAGUAUAAAGAUGGAACAGAGCUUGAAUUGAAAGAGAAUGAUAUUAAGCCUUUAACUUCCUUUAGGCAAAGGAAAGGUGGCUCAACUUCCAGUUCCCCUUCCAGACGCCGAGGGAGUCGAUCAAGGUCACGCUCCCGAUCCCCUGGUCGACCACCUAAAAGUGCCCGCCGAUCUGCUUCUGCUUCCCACCAGGCCGACAUUAAGGAAGCAAGGAGGGAAGUGGAAGUUAAAUUGACUCCGCUGAUUCUGAAGCCAUUUGGAAAUAGCAUCAGCAGAUAUAAUGGGGAGCCUGAGCAUAUUGAGAGAAAUGACGCACCUCAUAAAAAUACACAGGAAAAAUUCAAUUUGUCACAAGAAAGCAGUUACAUAGCAACACAGUAUAGCCUUCGUCCAAGAAAAGAAGAAGUCAAAUUAAAAGAAAUAGAUUCUAAGGAAGAAAAAUACAUUGCAAAAGAACUGGCAGUGAGAACCUUUGAAGUGACCCCCAUCCGGGCAAAGGACUUGGAGUUUGGAGGAGUACCUGGUGUGUUUCUCAUCAUGUUUGGCCUGCCUGUGUUCCUCUUCCUGUUGCUGUUGAUGUGUAAACAGAAAGAUCCCAGUCUUCUGAAUUUCCCUCCUCCUUUGCCAGCUUUGUAUGAGUUAUGGGAAACCAGAGUAUUUGGGGUCUACCUCCUGUGGUUUUUGAUUCAAGUCCUGUUCUACCUACUGCCAAUUGGAAAGGUUGUAGAAGGAACGCCUCUUAUUGAUGGAAGAAGACUCAAGUAUAGAUUAAAUGGAUUCUAUGCUUUUAUCCUGACAUCUGCAGUCAUCGGAACAUCUCUCUUCCAGGGUGUAGAGUUUCAUUACGUGUACAGUCAUUUUCUUCAGUUUGCACUUGCGGCCACUGUUUUUUGUGUGGUCUUGAGUGUGUAUCUCUACGUGCGCUCUUUGAAAGCGCCCCGGAAUGACCUGUCGCCUGCCAGCUCUGGAAAUGCUGUCUAUGAUUUCUUCAUUGGCCGUGAAUUAAACCCUCGAAUUGGUACUUUUGAUCUCAAAUACUUUUGUGAAUUGCGCCCCGGAUUGAUUGGAUGGGUGGUUGUUAACUUGGUGAUGCUUUUGGCUGAAAUGAAAAUACAGGACCGCGCUGUUCCAUCCUUGGCCAUGAUUUUAGUUAAUAGUUUCCAGCUUCUCUAUGUGGUGGAUGCUCUCUGGAAUGAGGAAGCGUUGUUGACGACCAUGGACAUCAUCCACGAUGGAUUUGGAUUCAUGCUGGCUUUUGGAGACUUGGUGUGGGUUCCCUUUAUUUACAGCUUCCAAGCCUUUUAUUUAGUCAGUCAUCCAAAUGAAGUGUCUUGGCCAAUGGCUUCUCUAAUUAUUGUUCUGAAACGUGAGUAUUAAUUUUAGUCUCAGUUUAAUUUAUUAAAUAUUAUGUACUGAGGCUUUUAUGCCCUGCUGUCUACAUACUUGAAACAUGCCAUUUUGAAUGGCCAGCAUUAGCUCAAUUUGAAGCCAUUUAUGAUGAGUAAUAAAAAAUCUGCAUUUUGCAAAGAGAAUGGAUGGUUCAUACUUGGGUUCUCAGUAGUACUUGAAACAGAUUAUUUUAAACCAUCUUGCUUUUAAAUUUAAUAAAUUUAAGUUGUUUUAAUUUGUUUUGGUAACCAUAUGUCUUUUCUCUUGAGUGCCUGCUUUUUCUGGUAGGCAUCUUAUAAAGUAAGAAGAUUUGUCUUGCCUUCAUAGAGCUCACAUUCUAACAGGAGAAAUAAGACAUUCCUGCCUUGCUGUGAGUUUGUGGUUAUGUAAUCUUCCGAGGUGCAAAUUCUCAGAAAAAUGCAUUCCGGAAAAAUCCCAGUGAUCCAAAGCUUGCACAUUUAAAAACCAUUCAUACUUCAACGGGAAAAAAUCUUCUAGUCUCUGGAUGGUGGGGCUUUGUUCGCCACCCCAAUUACUUGGGUGAUCUCAUCAUGGCCUUGGCGUGGUCCCUCCCAUGUGGUUUUAACCACAUUCUGCCUUAUUUCUACAUAAUUUAUUUCACCAUGUUGCUUGUCCACCGAGAAGCUCGUGACGAGUACCACUGUAAGAAGAAAUACGGCGUGGCUUGGGAAAAGUACCGUCAGCGUGUGCCCUACCGUAUAUUUCCAUACAUCUACUAAUGCUCUUCUGGCUUUUCUACAAAAUACUCCUGCAAUUCCAGCUGCCAUUUGCAAAAACAAGGAAAAAAAUCCGAAACUUUCUUUUGUUGCACUGACAGGGUCUGUAAUUUUUUUUUUCUUUUUGAGUCAGGACUAUAGAGCCGAGUAGUUGAUCUUUUAAUAUAGCCGUGUUUACUUGUAUUAAAUUACAGUUAACAUAGGAAAAAUACAAGUAAGGAUGUGAGAAUUUGCAUUUUAAUGGGAAAUUUUCAACCCUUAAUCUGAAAACAGAAGACAGUCUUAAUAUAAAUGUACUGUGAAGAAUGCUAUUGAUGUUUAUGGUUUCUGAUUACUUUUCAAAUUUUGAUGUUUUUUUGCCAGUUGGCUUUUCUUAAAUGAAAACACUGUUCCAUUUAAAGUACAUUUAUGUUUUAUUCAGUAAGAGAAUAGAAUUUUCAUUUGUUUUUCUUUAAAUCCUUUACUAAUUAUAUAAUUUGAAAGCAAAAAGAAGGGCCUAUAUUAAAUGCUGAAAGUGAAAAGCGAUGAGAUUAUUAGCAGACACUGCUUAAAGGAGACCAUUUGUAGCAGUUGGCUUAACCUCAACUUCUAAAACUACAUUGAAAAUGUAAAUACAUAGCUUAGUUUUUUGUAAUAUAUGGUGACUUCAGAUUUUUUUGUACAGUAUUUUGAAUGUGAGAUGAUUGUCAGGACUAACUGUCUUUUUAACAAAACAUUUUCAGUAUUUUAAAUAAAAUUUUGUAAAGUAAUGUGAAUUAAAAAUUUUGGAACAAUUAGAAUUCAUUCACUAUUGUAUAGAAGAUGCUGUUAAAACAUAGGAAGGGUAUUUUUCUUGAUCCAAAGUUUGUGAAUUUGGCUUUGCUACCUCAAUUGCAGGUGUUUGUUUGCCUUUAUAAACUGUUGCAAAUAGAAAAAAAAUAGAAUAAGUAUAUAUUUUUGGAGUAACAUCAAUAUUUAAACAUUUUUACACAGAUCGGUGUUUGAAAAUUUGCCAUUUCAGGCUAAUAUUUUUAUAUAUUUUUGACUUUUUAAAAGUUCAUCAGUGUUUUUGCUACUGUUAAGCUUAUGCAGUUUAUACUGUAUUUUUUAUGUAUCCUUUAUAUUUACCAAACAUGACUCCCUGUAAAGGAGUGCUGUCUUAAAAACAACUGAAGGGGUUAAAGUCGUUUCUUUUAGUUUAAUAGAUGUGCAUAAGGUAGCUUUAGCAAUUAAAUUCUAGUGAAGUUGAUAUAGUCUCAUUUUUAAUUGUCCUGUAAUGGAACAGUAGCAAAUUCACUAAACUUUUGUGUUCAGAGUUAAAUUGUUCUCAGUACUUUCAAUGUAGGGGAAUGUAAUAAACAUAGUGUGUAUGUUUGGGUUUUAAUUACACAUUUUAUAUAUGAGCCAUUCAGAUAUGCAGUGUUAAUUCUAUACUGCAUUUGAAGUGUAUGUAACUUAGCUUAUGUUAAUGCAGUCAUGAAGUUGGUUUGCUCCAGCAUCCGGUAGUCUUUAAACAUUCUUUUAGUGAAAUUGUCAUUGUUUUAUCAGUGCUAAUGUGUGCAAGCAGUUUUUUUAUUUUGCUUUUCACCUGGCAUCAGAAAGUGGUGGCGUUUUCUGUACUGGAUUACACCAAGGAAGCUUUUGGGAAGGAAGGAAGGACAUUAAAUUCUUUCCCUGGUAAUGAAAAGAGCCCUUUAUCAAUACAGUGCUGCAAUUUCUGGAUAUCAGCUACACUUUAUUUUUAAUUUUGUUUUUGACAUGUUUAUUUGGCAAAUUUUAUAAUGAAGUUUUAAGUUGAAAAUAAAAUGUAGCAACAUUUUGAUCA